RNAcentral lists this ribosomal RNA (460 nucleotides) under uncultured bacterium. RNAcentral describes it as "partial 16S ribosomal RNA". It matches the Rfam family "Bacterial small subunit ribosomal RNA", at positions 338 to 795 of the family's 1533-position model. The record is from RNAcentral.
CCUACGGGUGGCAGCAGUGAGGAAUAUUGGUCAAUGGACGAGAGUCUGAACCAGCCAAGUAGCGUGAAGGAUGACUGCCCUAUGGGUUGUAAACUUCUUUUAUCUGGGAAUAAAAUGUUCCACGUGUGGGAUUCUGUAUGUACCAUAUGAAUAAGGAUCGGCUAACUCCGUGCCACCAGCCGCGGUAAUACGGAGGAUCCGAGCGUUAUCCGGAUUUAUUGGGUUUAAAGGGAGCUUAGGUGGAUUGUUAAGUCAGUUGGGAAAGUUUGCGGCUAAACCGUAAAAUUGCAGUUGAAACUGGCAGGCUGGAGUACAGUAGAGGUGGGCGGAAUGCGUGGUGUAGCGGUGAAAUGCUUAGAUAUCACGAAGAACUCCGAUUGCGAAGGCAGCUCACUGGACUGCAACUGACACUGAGGCUCGAAAGUGUGGGUAUCAAACAGGAUUAGAUACCCCUGUAGUC